GCCCCCGUAGCUCAGAUGGAUAGAGCACUGGUUUCCUAAACCGGGUGCCGGAGGUUCGAGUCCUCCCGGGGGCGCCA
This 77-nucleotide transfer RNA is filed under the name Deltaproteobacteria bacterium. RNAcentral's name for it is "tRNA-Arg". It matches the Rfam family "tRNA". From Rfam's summary of the family: Transfer RNA (tRNA) molecules are approximately 80 nucleotides in length. Their secondary structure includes four short double-helical elements and three loops (D, anti-codon, and T loops). Lineage: Bacteria; Pseudomonadati; Myxococcota; Myxococcia. The record is from RNAcentral.